RNAcentral lists this ribosomal RNA (305 nucleotides) under uncultured bacterium. RNAcentral describes it as "bacterial SSU rRNA". It matches the Rfam family "Bacterial small subunit ribosomal RNA", at positions 28 to 334 of the family's 1533-position model. The record is from RNAcentral.
GACGAACGCUGGCGGCGUGCUUAACACAUGCAAGUCGAACGGUAAGGCUCCAGCUUGCUGGGGUACACGAGUGGCGAACGGGUGAGUAACACGUGGGUGACCUGCCCUGCACUUCGGGAUAAGCCUGGGAAACUGGGUCUAAUACCGGAUAGGACCGCACCGUGAGGGUGUGGUGGAAAGUUUUUUCGGUGUGGGAUGGGCCCGCGGCCUAUCAGCUUGUUGGUGGGGUAAUGGCCUACCAAGGCGGCGACGGGUAGCCGGCCUGAGAGGGUGGACGGCCACAUUGGGACUGAGACACGGCCCAG